Molecule: long non-coding RNA, 1021 nt
Organism: Ostrinia nubilalis (European corn borer)
Lineage: Eukaryota; Metazoa; Arthropoda; Insecta; Lepidoptera; Crambidae
Exons: 3
Source: RefSeq, a predicted model, not a curated record
CCGUCUCGCGAGUGUCAGUGGCUACACGUGUUUCAGGAAAACAAUUAGUUUUGGUGUAAUUACUAGUGUAAUCUUUUACAGAAAAUCAAUUUUAAGCUAAAUUAUUACUAAAACAAGGGUGGUGGUACAUAAGUUUAUUUAUUCUCGGCCAAGAAUUUAUCAAUAUUGUCUCCGAACACUGGCAAGGCUGGCUCAAGAUAUAUACUGAUGCUUCUAAGCUGGACGAAGGUGGAUGCACAGGUGCUGCAGUAUGGAUCCCAGCAUACAAAAUAACAUUGAAUUUUAAGUGUCCUCCUGUUACAUCAGUGUUCACCGGAGAAUCUGUUGCUAUACUUGAAGCUAUUCGCUAUAUAAUCUCUCAUCAACUCAAUAACACUCUGAUUUUCACCGAUUCUCUAAGCUGUCUUCAAUCCAUUUUAGCCAAUCCCUUCAAAUCCAAAUCCAAAUUUCCAAUAAUUUUCAAAAUUCGAGAAGCCCUAUAUCAGUGUAAUCAGCUGAAUUUAAAAGUCGUUUUGGCCUGGAUCCCAAGUCAUCGAGGAAUUCCUGGUAAUGAAACAGUAGACUCAUCCGCCAAAAUUGCUAUAACCACUGGCUCGUUGGAACAUUACAAGUUAUAUGCGCAUGACGCUUCCUCCCUGCCACGCAGUCACCUUUACAAAUCGUGGAAUACUCACUGGGAAAAGUCUAAACGAUUGGCUGGUAGAUAUUAUGCAGACAUCCAACAGAGCAUUCCCACAAGACCCUGGUUCUUUAAAUAUCACCACUUAUCUAAAAGGACUGUUUCCAUUAUCUGUCGCUUGCGUCUUGGUCAUGCUUGUACCCCGGUUCACCUUGCAAAAAUGCGGAUUAAAGAUAAUUCCCUAUGUAUAUAAGUUUGCUUAGAUUGCAGCUACAAAAUUUUCUAUUUUUAUAACAACAACCACUGUGUAAAAGCUGCGCACGUGACAUUGGCGGAAUAGUGUGCCCUCAGUGGCGAAAAAACGCAAGUUCAUCGCCAUAAACCAAAGAAGAAGAAGAAGAA